ACAGAGGGUGCGAGCGUUGUCCGGAAUCACUGGGCGUAAAGGGUGCGUAGGUGGCUUGGUAAGCGUGUGGUGAAAGUCCGGGGCUCAACCCCGGAUCUGCCGUGCGAACUGCGAGGCUUGAGCAAUGUAGAGGCAGGUGGAAUUUCGGGUGUAGCGGUGGAAUGCGUAGAGAUCCGAAAGAACACCAGUGGCGAAGGCGGCCUGCUGGGCAUUUGCUGACACUGAGGCACGACAGCGUGGGGAGCAAACAGG
RNAcentral lists this ribosomal RNA (252 nucleotides) under uncultured bacterium. RNAcentral describes it as "partial 16S ribosomal RNA". It matches the Rfam family "Bacterial small subunit ribosomal RNA", at positions 525 to 776 of the family's 1533-position model. The record is from RNAcentral.